Molecule: ribosomal RNA, 253 nt
Filed under: uncultured bacterium
Lineage: Bacteria
Description: partial 16S ribosomal RNA
Rfam family: Bacterial small subunit ribosomal RNA
Source: RNAcentral
UACGGAGGGUGCAAGCGUUAAUCGGAAUUACUGGGCGUAAAGCGCACGCAGGUGGCUGAGUCAGUCGAUUGUGAAAGCCCUGGGCUUAACCUGGGAAUUGCAGUCGAUACUACUCAGCUAGAGUAUGGGAGAGGGCAGUGGAAUUCCCGGUGUAGCGGUGAAAUGCGUAGAUACUGGGAGGAACACCAGUGGCGAAGGCGGCUACCUGGACCGGUUCUGACGCUGAGGCGCGAAAGCGUGGGUAGCAAACAGG